GUUGAACGCCACCGAGAGCUCAUUCGUGGGCUGGGCUGUCGCGAGUUCCUUCCAGAGCAGAGUGGUCACAAAGCAGGAAGGACACAGAGGCAGCUAUAUUGUUAGAAUGAUUUCUGCAGCUUGCAAGAGAGAGGGUAAAAGGAGAUGGAAAUUAUUCUACAAGAUGAAGGUUUGAAUGUAUUCCUCUGCACUUCAAUGAAGAAAUUAAGCACUUGACUAGAAUUAGUUUAGACUGAAAAGCAUUCAUACCCAAUAUGUACUUUCUCUGAGCUCUCACUUCUAAGGUGAGUUUAACAUAGAAAUGCCAUACUGUGUCUGAAACAAACUUUGAUAGAGUUUGUUGACUGACUCAAAUAGUAAAAUUCUACCAUUUUGGAAUGUAGGAAUUGGAUUUUAUCUCUGAAUAAAAUUAGUUAUAAAACUUAUCUAUUCAUGUUUGUGAUGUUUCUCAUUAGCUCUUUCCUCCCUCUACCUUUCCAUUCCACCCUUGUUACCUUCUUUUUAUGAGUUGUGUAUAUUCUUAAGUGUCACCUUGUGAGAGUAUGCAUAAUAGUUUAGGUUGCUGCAUGUUGUAGCCUUGACAUAGUAGAGGUUCUCCCUACCUUAGUCCAAGGGAUUUUUGCAUUUAGCAUUUGACAGUGUCAUGAUAAACUAUUUCUGUGGCUUGCCUUUGGCCAUCCUUCACUACUUUGUCCCAGGAGACACAGAAAUCUGUGAGUCUUAUAGAUUUUAUUUUUUUUUGUUGUUGAGACU
Lepidothrix coronata (blue-crowned manakin) is the source of this 753-nucleotide long non-coding RNA. RefSeq lists it as uncharacterized. Lineage: Eukaryota; Metazoa; Chordata; Aves; Passeriformes; Pipridae. The record is from RefSeq and is a predicted model, not a curated record. The transcript has 3 exons.